GACGAACGCUGGCGGCGUGCCUAAUACAUGCAAGUAGAACGCUGAAGGAGGAGCUUGCUUCUCUGGAUGAGUUGCGAACGGGUGAGUAACGCGUAGGUAACCUGCCUGGUAGCGGGGGAUAACUAUUGGAAACGAUAGCUAAUACCGCAUAAUAGUAGAUGUUGCAUGACAUUUGCUUAAAAGGUGCAAUUGCAUCACUACCAGAUGGACCUGCGUUGUAUUAGCUAGUUGGUGGGGUAACGGCUCACCAAGGCGACGAUACAUAGCCGACCUGAGAGGGUGAUCGGCCACACUGGGACUGAGACACGGCCCAGACUCCUACGGGAGGCAGCAGUAGGGAAUCUUCGGCAAUGGACGGAAGUCUGACCGAGCAACGCCGCGUGAGUGAAGAAGGUUUUCGGAUCGUAAAGCUCUGUUGUAAGAGAAGAACGAGCGUGAGAGUGGAAAGUUCACACUGUGACGGUAUCUUACCAGAAAGGGACGGCUAACUACGUG
This 495-nucleotide ribosomal RNA is filed under the name uncultured bacterium. RNAcentral describes it as "partial 16S ribosomal RNA". It matches the Rfam family "Bacterial small subunit ribosomal RNA", at positions 28 to 507 of the family's 1533-position model. The record is from RNAcentral.